UCGAGAAUCUUCCGCAAUGGGCGAAAGCCUGACGGAGCGACACCGCGUGAUGGAUGAAGUCCCUCUGGGACGUAAACAUCUUUUAUGAGGGAGAAAGUUUAUUGAUAGUACCUCACGAAUAAGGGGUUGCUAAACUCGUGCCAGCAGCAGCGGUAAUACGAGUGCCCCGAGCGUUGUUCGGAUUUACUGGGCGUAAAGAGUCUGUAGGCGGUGGGGUAAGUCAGAUGUGAAAUCCCGGGGCUCAACCCCGGAACUGCAUCCGAUACUGCCUUACUUGAGGGUCGGAGGGGAGUCUGGAAUUCUCGGUGUAGCAGUGAAAUGCGUAGAUAUCAUGGGGAACACCAAAAGCGAAGGCAGUACAUUGGGCCACUCCUGACACUGAAACACGAAAGCGUAGGUAGCGAAUGGGAUUAGAUACCCUUGUAGUCCCUGAGCGGGCUGGCAAGGCGCAU
Molecule: ribosomal RNA, 452 nt
Filed under: uncultured bacterium
Lineage: Bacteria
Description: bacterial SSU rRNA
Rfam family: Bacterial small subunit ribosomal RNA
Source: RNAcentral